RNAcentral lists this ribosomal RNA (253 nucleotides) under uncultured bacterium. RNAcentral describes it as "partial 16S ribosomal RNA". It matches the Rfam family "Bacterial small subunit ribosomal RNA", at positions 524 to 776 of the family's 1533-position model. The record is from RNAcentral.
UACGUAGGGCGCAAGCGUUAUCCGGAAUUAUUGGGCGUAAAGAGCUCGUAGGCGGUUUGUCGCGUCUGCCGUGAAAGUCCGGGGCUCAACUCCGGAUCUGCGGUGGGUACGGGCAGACUAGAGAGAUGUAGGGGAGACUGGAAUUCCUGGUGUAGCGGUGAAAUGCGCAGAUAUCAGGAGGAACACCGAUGGCGAAGGCAGGUCUCUGGGCAUUAACUGACGCUGAGGAGCGAAAGCAUGGGGAGCGAACAGG